AUUGAACGCUGGCGGCAGGCCUAACACAUGCAAGUCGAGCGGAUGAAGGGAGCUUGCUCCUGGAUUCAGCGGCGGACGGGUGAGUAAUGCCUAGGAAUCUGCCUGGUAGUGGGGGAUAACGUCCGGAAACGGGCGCUAAUAACGCAUACGUCCUGAGGGUGAAAGUGGGGGAUCUUCGGACCUCACGCUAUCAGAUGAGCCUAGGUCGGAUUAGCUAGUUGGUGGGGUAAAGGCCUACCAAGGCGACGAUCCGUAACUGGCCUGAGAGGAUGAUCAGUCACACUGGAACUGAGACACGGUCCAGACUCCUACGGGAGGCAGCAGUGGGGAAUAGUGGACAAUGGGCGAAAGCCUGAUCCAGCCAUGCCGCGUGGGUGAAGAAGGUCUUCGGAUUGUAAAGCACUUUAAGUGGGGAGGAAGGGCAGUAAGUGAAUACCUUGCUGUUUUGACGUUACCAACAGAAUAAGCACCGGCUAACUUCGUG
Molecule: ribosomal RNA, 484 nt
Filed under: uncultured bacterium
Lineage: Bacteria
Description: partial 16S ribosomal RNA
Rfam family: Bacterial small subunit ribosomal RNA
Source: RNAcentral